AACGGCCAUACCAUGCUGAAUAUACCGGUUCUCGUUAGAUCACCGAAGUCAAGCAUCAUUGGGCGCGGUCAGUACUUGGGUGGGUGACCAUCUGGGAACACCGCGUGCCGUU
Caerostris darwini is the source of this 112-nucleotide non-coding RNA. Lineage: Eukaryota; Metazoa; Arthropoda; Arachnida; Araneae; Araneidae. The record is from the annotation of a GenBank genome assembly.